GGGCCGCUAGCUCAAUUGGCAGAGCUACGGACUUUUAAUCCGCAGGUUCUGGGUUCGAGUCCCAGGCGGCCCACCA
This 76-nucleotide transfer RNA is filed under the name Myceligenerans halotolerans. RNAcentral describes it as "tRNA-Lys". It matches the Rfam family "tRNA". Rfam says of the family: Transfer RNA (tRNA) molecules are approximately 80 nucleotides in length. Their secondary structure includes four short double-helical elements and three loops (D, anti-codon, and T loops). RNAcentral also lists the same sequence under 2 other names. The record is from RNAcentral. Lineage: Bacteria; Bacillati; Actinomycetota; Actinomycetes; Micrococcales; Promicromonosporaceae.